UACGUAGGCAGCGAGCGUUGUUCGGAAUUACUGGGCGUAAAGAGUGUGUAGGCGGUGCUCUAAGUUCGGUGUGAAAUCUCCUGCUUAACUGGGAGGGUGCGCCGGAAACUGGGGUGCUCGAGCGUGGGAGAGGAAAGCGGAAUUCCUGGUGUAGCGGUGAAAUGCGUAGAUAUCAGGAGGAACACCUGUGGUGUAGACAGCUUCUGGACCAUUGCUGACGCUGAGACACGAAAGCGUGGGUAGCAAACAGG
RNAcentral lists this ribosomal RNA (251 nucleotides) under uncultured bacterium. RNAcentral's name for it is "partial 16S ribosomal RNA". It matches the Rfam family "Bacterial small subunit ribosomal RNA", at positions 524 to 776 of the family's 1533-position model. The record is from RNAcentral.